CUGCAGCUAAUUGAGCUAACGGAGUCCCUUUCCUCAUGGGGGCCCAGUGUGCAAUAGCUGCAAACAGCAGCUUCCUUGGUAAUGUAUGCAGCCUGUUUCUUGUAUGGGUUGCUCUAAGGGACCUUGGAGACAGGC
RNAcentral lists this small nucleolar RNA (135 nucleotides) under Colobus angolensis palliatus. RNAcentral describes it as "Small nucleolar RNA SNORA70 (ENSCANG00000006681.1)". It matches the Rfam family "Small nucleolar RNA SNORA70". From Rfam's summary of the family: snoRNA U70 seems to be exclusive to mammals and is a member of the H/ACA class of snoRNA which contain H (ANANNA) and ACA box motifs. Lineage: Eukaryota; Metazoa; Chordata; Mammalia; Primates; Cercopithecidae. The record is from Rfam by way of RNAcentral.